AUACGGAGGGUCCAAGCGUUAUCCGGAAUCAUUGGGUUUAAAGGGUCCGUAGGCGGUCUGGUAAGUCAGUGGUGAAAGCCCAUCGCUCAACGGUGGAACGGCCAUUGAUACUGCCAGACUUGAAUUUCCAGGAAGCAACUAGAAUAUGUAGUGUAGCGGUGAAAUGCUUAGAUAUUACAUGGAAUACCAAUUGCGAAGGCAGGUUGCUACUGGUGGAUUGACGCUGAUGGACGAAAGCGUGGGUAGCGAACAGGAUUAGAUACCCUGGUAGUCCACGCCGUAAACGAUGGAUACUAGCUGUUGGGAGCAAUCUCAGUGGCUAAGCGAAAGUGAUAAGUAUCCCACCUGGGGAGUACGAACGCAAGUUUGAA
RNAcentral lists this ribosomal RNA (371 nucleotides) under uncultured bacterium. RNAcentral's name for it is "bacterial SSU rRNA". It matches the Rfam family "Bacterial small subunit ribosomal RNA", at positions 523 to 898 of the family's 1533-position model. The record is from RNAcentral.